CCUACGGGGGGCAGCAGUGGGGAAUAUUGCACAAUGGAGGAAACUCUGAUGCAGCGACGCCGCGUGAGUGAUGAAGGUCUUCGGAUCGUAAAACUUUGUCCUAGGGGAAGAUAGUGACGGUACCUUAGGAGGAAGCCCCGGCUAACUACGUGCCAGCAGCCGCGGUAAUACGUAGGGGGCAAGCGUUAUCCGGAAUUAUUGGGCGUAAAGGGUUCGCAGGCGGUUAUCCAAGUCAGGUGUGAAAUCCCGAGGCUUAACCUCGGUAAGCAUUUGAAACUGGAUAGCUUGAGUUAAGGAGAGGAAAGCGGAAUUCCUAGUGUAGCGGUGAAAUGCGUAGAUAUUAGGAGGAAUACCAGUAGCGAAGGCGACUUUCUGGCCUUAAACUGACGCUGAGGAACGAAAGCGUGGGUAGCAAACAGGAUUAGAUACCCCUGUAGUC
Molecule: ribosomal RNA, 439 nt
Filed under: uncultured Eubacteriales bacterium
Lineage: Bacteria; Bacillati; Bacillota; Clostridia; Eubacteriales
Description: bacterial SSU rRNA
Rfam family: Bacterial small subunit ribosomal RNA
Source: RNAcentral